GCCAGGUGUGGUGGCAUGCACCUGUAGUCCCAGCUACUUGGGAGGCUGAGGUGGGAGGAUCACUUGAGCCCAGGAGUUCAAGGCUGCAGUGAGCUAUGAUUGUGUCACUGCACUCCAGCCUGGGCAACAGAGUGAGACACUGUUUUUU
This 148-nucleotide non-coding RNA is filed under the name Pan paniscus (pygmy chimpanzee). RNAcentral also lists the same sequence under 1 other name. Lineage: Eukaryota; Metazoa; Chordata; Mammalia; Primates; Hominidae. The record is from Rfam by way of RNAcentral.